Molecule: ribosomal RNA, 1650 nt
Filed under: Triticum aestivum (bread wheat)
Lineage: Eukaryota; Viridiplantae; Streptophyta; Magnoliopsida; Poales; Poaceae
Description: partial small subunit ribosomal RNA
Source: RNAcentral
AUGACAUUACAGGAACAGAAGCCCUUCUCAGUUGUCUCAACAAAUCACCCACUUCCUUCCUUCAACAGAAAUGAGUCAUGUUUAGAACAGUUCCCUGAAAAGGUUAAGCUGGGAUCUCAAAAAGAGCUGCCGGUUCAGGUCAAGUUAGAACAGUCAAUCGGCAGAGGAAAGGAAAAUGAGCCCCUGUCAAUACUCCCGGCCACUCUUCCACACUCUUCCUUGAACAGAAAUAGUCUGCAUAUCGAAAAAAUCCCUGAAAAGGUUCACUGUUCGGAUACAAGGAUGAGAGAAAGUCAUCUGGUCUCAUGUGUAGAUGUGGACAAUCACGGAGGAGAGCUCAAAGACAGUUCAGUGACCCCUGUAACUUCCUGCAAUGCAAGUUCAAGAAAUGCAGAUGCCAAACCUCAGGAGGAUAAAGCUUCCAUGGAGCCCCAACCUACUACUUCAAAGAUAAAAGUAUCAGAAACUUCUACCAUUUCUCUGAACCAGCAAAUCCAUUUCAAAGGGAACGGGCAGAAACAAGCUGAUAUUCUGGUUAGGCGUUCGUGUGAGGACAGAAGCUCAAUAGAGCCAGGUGUUACUGAUGGUGCUAGCAGUCAAUUUGGUAUUUCUCCAGAUAUUGAGGUGUGCAUUGGACACCCUUUAUAUAACAUUGAACCUAACAUAGAAAGGAUUCUAUCAGAGGUCAUCCUAACCACCCAGAGGCAUGCACCAGAUGGGAAUGCUGCUAAAAUUGAUGGUUUUGAAACAUUGACGCCAGUGAAUUCCUGCUCACCAUCUUGUUACAUUCGGUAUGAGGGUGCUGAGGGAAGUCCAUACACGCGGGAAGAGACCAUUUCAUGCUGUCUGACUAGGAGAACGAAGCAUACUCGAAAUAUUAGAAGCCUUGUUUUUCACCGUGUACAGUAUUUCUGUAGAGGUAUAGUUGAUCAAUCUCAUUACAUACUUUGCCUUCUUGAGUCUGAAUCACCGGAUGACCAUCAAAUAGCUGUUGAAAUGAUAUCGGGAGAUGAGCGUUUUCACAUCGCUACUCUCCCCACUUCUGAUCAAGCAAAAAAGUUUGUGGAUCAAUUCAUUCUUCUGAUGAAACGGGAUGGCUACACACUAUGCAAUUCUACGGUCUGUAAUGGAUUCUCUGAACUCACACAGCAAUCCACAGAUGUAUCUCAGCCCGACUAUCUGACUGGAGAACAUCCACAGUACCAGGGGUUCUCGCCUUCUGUUGCGAAAACCGUUGUGAUUAAUGAAUGUAAGGAUACAGGUUUUGCAUCGGAGAAGAGGCUCCCAGAUGUACAUGCCCAUGCUCGGCAGCAAGGGAGCCAGCAGUGGGGACUGCUAGAUGUACAUGCCAAUGUUCUGUAUCAAGGGAGUCGGCAGUGGGGCCUGCCAGAUGUGCAUGCAAAUGCCCAGCACGAAGGGAGUCAGCACUGGGGGAUGCCAGAUGCACACAGAAAUGCCAUGCAGCAAGGGAGUACUCAGCAGUGGGGGCAGUCAUAUGCACACACAAAUGCUCCACGGCUAGGGGGUAAGCAGCAACGGGGGAAACCAUAUGCAGACACAAAUGUUCCGCAGCGCAGGAGUAACCGGCAGCAGGGGCAACCAUAUGCGCAUGCAAGUGUUCCGCAGCAAGGGAGUAACCAGCAGCGGUAG